This 400-nucleotide ribosomal RNA is filed under the name uncultured soil bacterium. RNAcentral's name for it is "bacterial SSU rRNA". It matches the Rfam family "Bacterial small subunit ribosomal RNA", at positions 975 to 1375 of the family's 1533-position model. The record is from RNAcentral.
CUGGGCUCGAAGCACAGUGGACCGGGGUAGAAAUAUCCCUUUUCGCAAGAACUGCUGUGGAGGUGCUGCAUGGCUGUCGUCAGCUCGUGUCGUGAGAUGUUGGGUUAAGUCCCGCAACGAGCGCAACCCUUAUCGUUAGUUGCCAGCGAGUCAAGUCGGGCACUCUAGCGAAACCGCCCCGGAUAACGGGGAGGAAGGUGGGGAUGACGUCAAGUCCUCAUGGCCUUUAUGUCCAGGGCUACACACGUGCUACAAUGGUCGGUACAAACCGUCGCAAACCUGCGAAGGGGAGCUAAUCGGAAAAAGCCGGCCUCAGUUCGGAUUGGAGUCUGCAACUCGACUCCAUGAAGCUGGAAUCGCUAGUAAUCGCGGAUCAGCACGCCGCGGUGAAUACGUUCCC